GUAGGGAAUAUUGGGCAAUGGUCGGAAGACUGACCCAGCCAUGCCGCGUGCAGGAAGACGGCCCUCUGGGUUGUAAACUGCUUUUAUCUGGGAAGAAAAAGGCCAUGCGUGGCAAAUUGCCGGUACCAGAUGAAUAAGCACCGGCUAACUCCGUGCCAGCAGCCGCGGUAAUACGGAGGGUGCGAGCGUUGUCCGGAUUUAUUCGGUUUAAAGGGUGCGUAGGCGGCUGAUUAAGUCAGCGGUGAAAGACUUCGGCUUAACCGGAGCAGUGCCGUUGAUACUGGUUGGCUUGAGUGUCGGAGGGGUACAUGGAAUUGAUGGUGUAGCGGUGAAAUGCAUAGAUACCAUCAGGAACACCGAUAGCGAAGGCAUUGUACUGGCCGACAACUGACGCUGAUGCACGAAAGUGUGGGGAUCGAACAGGAUUAGAUACCCCGGUAGUCC
This 444-nucleotide ribosomal RNA is filed under the name uncultured bacterium. RNAcentral describes it as "partial 16S ribosomal RNA". It matches the Rfam family "Bacterial small subunit ribosomal RNA", at positions 354 to 796 of the family's 1533-position model. The record is from RNAcentral.